This 621-nucleotide long non-coding RNA is filed under the name Struthio camelus australis. Its description in RNAcentral is "lncRNA (ENSSCUG00000012698.1)". The record is from RNAcentral. Lineage: Eukaryota; Metazoa; Chordata; Aves; Struthioniformes; Struthionidae.
GGCAAGGCUGAAGUUGCUGGUUUGCGCUGGAAGACAGUAGUGUGGACAGGCAUGUUCCUCAGUGAACAGAGAAUAGCAAGAAGACGUGUGAAGCUCGUUUUACCCGUUAGAGGGCAGAAGUGUACCAGCGAAGAGCCUGGGAAGCGUCGCUGCUGCCUGCCAGUGCGAAUGUAAAUCAGCGGCAGAGGCCUGGUGUGCAGCAGCAUGCAGCUCGCUCUCGUUGAACUAACUGCAGAGCUACUUGGGAAGCCAAACGACUCGCCGGAUUUAUUAAAAUGCAUUGCUUGCUUUGCUUCAGCAGUGCUGAUGUUGCAGAGCAUCUUCUAUAAACUGAUAUUCUGGCACCGCCUUUGGCCUGUCGCUAUUUCAACUUUUUGGAGCUGUUUAAAGGGGAAGCGUGUGCUCUGUGGCAGGGAGCACAGCUGCAGCAUCCAGCCUCUCCAGGGCACCGAGGUGUCUCCAACCAGCGGGACUCUCCUCAUCACAGGAGUCUGGGCCUACGUUGACACGCAGAAGUCAUCACCAGGGCAGCAAGGCUGCUCCCGGUGCAGCCCGCCUCUGCGUCCCAGCGAGCCCGGGGUUCGCUAAGGGCUCCCCUUCGCCUAACGAGCCCCUUGACAG